This 2764-nucleotide long non-coding RNA is filed under the name Mytilus galloprovincialis (Mediterranean mussel). The record is from RNAcentral. Lineage: Eukaryota; Metazoa; Mollusca; Bivalvia; Mytilida; Mytilidae.
ACUGCUCACAUCUAAACAAUCAUUUUAUGUAAACAAAACUGAACACACCAGUUGCUUGAAAUAGUUUCAGUUUUAUGUGUGAUUUAAAAUCCAAAAACUAUUAUUAAUUUCUUCAGGAAUUUGCUCGUUGAAUGUAAGUUAACGUAUUUUAUUUAUUAAUUGUGGUUUAUACACAAUUCAGAUUUUUUUAUUUGCGAUGUAAAUACGUUCCUGAUAUAACGCAAUACCAUAAAACGUCUGUGUUGUUUGAUAUCUAUUACUUGUUAUUUUAAUUGACAUUUAUAUUUACGGUUUAUUUAUAACAUAAAUUGGGAGAUAUUUGAGGGCGUUCGUUUACCUUUUGGAUGUUAUGGCUUUUUACGCAGGUUUUAUUUGAUAUAUAUGGGGUCAAUGAACUACGUGAAAUCUAGAUUUUUCCAAUACCUAUAAAUAAUAUUCUAAAUUUAGACCAACCAAUCGGAUUGUUUGUUUUGUUUUGGUAGCUAUAUAUAAAUAAUAUUUCACAAUCACGUGUUGUAAGUCAUUUAUACUGCACUCGUUCUAUAUUGAGCCAGUCAAAAUGCGUUGACCGUAUAUUUCAUAUGUCAUAUACAGUCCUGACCUUGAUAUCACUUCUUCCUCAUGAAUUAUUUAAAUAGAAAUUGUUCGAAAUUAUAGUUUAAUUAUUCAUACGACUCUUCAACCGUUCUUGUUUCCAUGUAAACAACGAUUGCGUUUAACGACUCAAACUUGUUUCUUUUGCAAUUUUUGGGAAAAAACAUAUUUCCUUUAUAUAAUAUUUUUUGUUUGCAACCUAGAAAUCAUUAUGUUUUAUGUUUUAGUGUGAUAUUUUAAGUCUGUAAUCAAACGAAUUCGUUCACAUUGAUAGCGGUUUUCAAAAGGUUAAUGAUGUACAUUUCAUCGUUUGUAUUCUGCCGCCUGUGUGAAUGAGCCUUUUUAAAGGGGAUUUUCCCAAUAUUUAAAUCAAAUAAAUAAACAAUGGAAACACACUAAACAACAAUGAAAAAUGUUUUUUUUUUUUAGAUUGCAGUAUAAAGACAAAAAUAGUGAUUGAUUGACAUAUCAACGAAUAAGGAUUCGGCCCGAAACGGGGAAAAUGUCGGCACAGCCUCCGCAUUCCCCGGUUUCUAAGCCCUAUCCUAUAUCGUUGAUAUGUCAAAGUCAAUGCAUAUUAUUGUCUAUGUAUUACGAUGCUAAGUCAAAAGGUAAAUUUAUUUUAACUAUAGUAUUUUUUUUUAAAGUUCUAUCAUUUAUGAGGGUCGUAAUGGGGGUAAAAAUUCUUGCCAAAUGACGUUAACGGUAAAUUUUGGUGCAUGACGAUAAAAUGUACACUUUCUUUCAGACGAUAAAACAAUCUACUGAUUUUGACGAAUCACGUCAAUUUUUUUCCAAAAAUAACGGUAACGGUAAUUAUUUGAGACCUCUGACGAAUCACGUUAUCGAUAAUUUGACGAAUCACGGUAAAAUUUUAACCAAUUUGACGCUAACAGUAGCCAAAAAUGACCGUUUGACGCCUGACGGUAAAUUUAUAUUAUUUGUUUUGUCUGUACUGAUCAAUUAUGAGGUUAGACGUUUUUAAUUUUAAGUUGAACAAUUCUCAUGAUUAUUGUCUGUCAUAUAUAUAUAUGUAUUAAUUGAGUUAUCAUGAAUAUAUUGUUAUUAUUUGUUGUAUACAUAUGUUUCUUUUUGUUUUGUGUUUUUUGCUACACAUGUUACAUUUCUAUACAUUGUUUAGAUUGCAUUGCAUAUGUUAUUGUUUAUAAUGAUAUUGUUUAUAUCCUAUUCUGUUCUGUCUGAUCUGGUCUGGUCUGGUCUGGUCUGGUCUGGUCUGUAUUAAUACUCAUAAUUAUAUUGUAUUGUCUGUACCUGUAACUUCAUUAAUAUGCUUGUUAUGAGCCCUAUGAUUUAAUUUUAGGAAAAUAAAACAAUUAUAUUCUAUUCUAUUACAUGUUCAGGAGAAUCGGGGAUCCCCUUAAAAAGAAGACGCAAAUAGGAUACACUCAUUCUUUUGUAAAAUAUUUGGAAAUAUUUCCCUUUGAACCCCUCUUGAUGACAGAAUAAGCACAGAUACACAUGAAUGGCCGGCUCGAAAGGAAGUCUUGCCAAAUAUUUUAUAUAUCGCAUGCCUGGGUUUACCACUACUGGUCAAACAUUUUGUUUCGAUUUUAUUGUUGAAACUCAGUCAAUGUUGUAUUCUUUUCCCCCCUAAUUUUCAAUGAUAACAAAUUAUUCUUUUACUUCCCUUCUGAAGCAAAUAUAUAUAUAGAGAAUCCCCAACACAAUAUGAAUGAUCGAUGCCUAAUUGUAGCAAAAGUUUAAAAAUGAGCAGUACAAUUCAAUAAAUGGACACAUUUUAUUUCUUUUAAUAUGAAUAAAUGUAUACGAGAAAAAUAUAAUGAUUAUUUCACAUUAUUCUGCGCUCAUUGAUUAAAAUAUCUAUUAUUUUAUUAUCAUUAUUAUUAUUGAUAUUGUAGGAAACCUUAAUAUGACAGUAGAUAGAUCAAGGAGACCUAGUAAUCGCCCCAGCAGACGACCGGCCAAGGUCGACGUAAAGGUCAAGUUAGAACGCAGUAGGCAGAGUGCAAGGGAAUGUAGAGCGAGGAAGAAGUUACGAUACCAGUACCUGGAAGAUUUGGUUACUAGUAAGGAAAAUGCCAUCUUUAAGUUAAGGGACGAACUUGCAUUGGUGAGCUAUUAUUCUUUCUUCGUUUGAAAAUAGACAUCUAUUUAUACAUUUGUUUGCUUUUUUUGUAUUUGCAUUAUU